Haliotis rubra (blacklip abalone) is the source of this 189-nucleotide long non-coding RNA. RefSeq lists it as uncharacterized. NCBI's taxonomy places the organism in Eukaryota, Metazoa, Mollusca, Gastropoda, Lepetellida, Haliotidae. The record is from RefSeq and is a predicted model, not a curated record. The transcript is spliced from 2 exons.
UCAGGGUACAAGCUGUCUACAUCACACUGUGGGUGAACACUUGGUGGUCAGGGUACAAGCUGUCUAUAUCACACUGUGGAUGAUUCAAGUGACCCUAAGGAGAAUGGGAAGGGGGAAAGGAGAUCUUGCCGGUUCCAAUUUAUUAACUGCAGUGUGCAGAUAUUGUAAAAAAAUAAAUCAUUUUGAAUG